Molecule: non-coding RNA, 660 nt
Organism: Podarcis lilfordi (Lilford's wall lizard)
Lineage: Eukaryota; Metazoa; Chordata; Lepidosauria; Squamata; Lacertidae
Source: the annotation of a GenBank genome assembly
GCUCCUGGACGCUGUCUCUGAUCUGCGCCUCUAGCUGCAAGAACUUCAAAAGGAACAAUUAGGAAGAAGCGAAUGCACAUAUUUCAAGGAAGGAGGGGGAGUAAAGACUGCUAACUGAAGAGAUCUCUGAUAAACAAGACGGGUCAGAGGAACAAGAAUCAAUCAUGAGAAGAUAUGCCAAGACUCGGUAUGGCAAAGGGACUGGAUGGGGGAGGGGGAAAAAACUUUCCUUUCUUUCCUCUAUGUGAUUAAACAAGAAUCCCCCCCCUCACAAGUCAGAAAUGCCGUUUUAAUGACUUAAGCUGUGGAUUUAUGACUGUGUGGAGAUAAAUUUUCUAACCAAAGCAUGUUUUAAGAAGAGUGUGGAAAGUUUAAGAACUUUGGAAUGACGCAGUUAAAAAUACCGUCGCCAUAUUGGCAAGCUCUGUCGGAGGACUUGAGUCUGGGAGGAGGAAAAGAGCUGUUUUUAUAUUGUGGGUGAGACUCCUCAGUGGGACUUAAGAACGACAGAUCCUGAGAUUAAUGAUGGAAAGAGCGAUGUUAUUUAUGAAAGUGAUGAUAUAUGGAAACCAUCUCGAUAUGAGGAUUGGACGAAUGGAAAAAUCCACACAGGAUAUAAUUGGUGUUUAUCUGCUUUAGGAGAUUAUCAGAAGAGAUCAU